AGGGAGGCUAAGGCAGGGGUGAAAAAACUAAGCCGCCAAGUAGUUGGUGUGUUGGCACUGCCUCAAACUCUUCUAUCUCGAACAACCAGUUACAGUGUCCUGCCAGCUAUCAAGAAGGGCACUAAAGUUACUAAAAUGGAGACAACAGAACCCCUAUGUCCCUUGACACCUGAUGGGGAGAUAAU
Salvelinus namaycush (lake trout) is the source of this 185-nucleotide long non-coding RNA. RefSeq lists it as uncharacterized. The transcript is spliced from 3 exons. The record is from RefSeq and is a predicted model, not a curated record. NCBI's taxonomy places the organism in Eukaryota, Metazoa, Chordata, Actinopteri, Salmoniformes, Salmonidae.